CAUGCCUGUGCAGUAGUUACUAUAGAGCUCUGGGGUGGGUUUGUAUGCGCUGGGGGAUGAAACCGACAGACCGUCUCCCAUGUCGUUUCUCGUUUCUCCUUCACCCACUAACGUGCGGGUAGGUUACCGUAGUAUGCCAGUUCACGCAUAGACACGAAAGGGUAGAGCUGAGAGAGUGUGCCCCUGACGUACAACAUCCUUGGAUAUACUGCAGAGAAAUCGUGCCAGGGAACAGCCAAUAUUAUCAUCUUCGUUAACUAGUUCAUUGCUCGAUAUUACGAUGUGCUGCACAUCCCCGCUUCCCCAGUCCAGAUUACCCC
This 320-nucleotide small RNA is filed under the name Histoplasma capsulatum var. duboisii H88. RNAcentral describes it as "Histoplasma capsulatum H88 hypothetical RNA". The record is from RNAcentral. Lineage: Eukaryota; Fungi; Ascomycota; Eurotiomycetes; Onygenales; Ajellomycetaceae.